GACGAACGCUGGCGGCGUGCCUAAUACAUGCAAGUUGAGCGCUGAAGGUUGGUACUUGUAGCGACUGGAUGAGCAGCGAACGGGUGAGUAACGCGUGGGGAAUCUGCCUUUGAGCGGGGGACAACAUUUGGAAACGAAUGCUAAUACCGCAUAAAAACUUUAAACACAAGUUUUAAGUUUGAAAGAUGCAAUUGCAUCACUCAAAGAUGAUCCCGCGUUGUAUUAGCUAGUUGGUGAGGUAAAGGCUCACCAAGGCGAUGAUACAUAGCCGACCUGAGAGGGUGAUCGGCCACAUUGGGACUGAGACACGGCCCAAACUCCUACGGGAGGCAGCAGUAGGGAAUCUUCGGCAAUGGACGAAAGUCUGACCGAGCAACGCCGCGUGAGUGAAGAAGGGUUUCGGAUCGUAAAACUCUGUUGGUAGAGAAGAACGUUGGUGAGAGUGGAAAGCUCAUCAAGUGACGGUAACUACCCAGAAAGGGACGGCUAACUACGUG
This 497-nucleotide ribosomal RNA is filed under the name uncultured bacterium. Its description in RNAcentral is "partial 16S ribosomal RNA". It matches the Rfam family "Bacterial small subunit ribosomal RNA", at positions 28 to 507 of the family's 1533-position model. The record is from RNAcentral.